RNAcentral lists this ribosomal RNA (272 nucleotides) under uncultured Desulfovibrio sp. RNAcentral describes it as "partial 16S ribosomal RNA". It matches the Rfam family "Bacterial small subunit ribosomal RNA", at positions 1108 to 1382 of the family's 1533-position model. The record is from RNAcentral. Lineage: Bacteria; Pseudomonadati; Thermodesulfobacteriota; Desulfovibrionia; Desulfovibrionales; Desulfovibrionaceae.
UUGCCAGUUGCUACCAGGUAAUGCUGGGCACUCUGGUGAGACUGCCCGUUAACGGGGAGGAAGUGGGGACGACGUCAAGUCAUCAUGGCCCUUACGCCUAGGGCUACACACGUACUACAAUGGCGCAUACAAAGGGCAGCGAUACCGCGAGGUGGAGCCAAUCCCAAAAAGUGCGUCCCAGUCCGGAUUGCAGUCUGCAACUCGACUGCAUGAAGUUGGAAUCGCUAGUAAUUCGAGAUCAGCAUGCUCGGGUGAAUGCGUUCCCGGGCCUU